RNAcentral lists this ribosomal RNA (478 nucleotides) under uncultured bacterium. RNAcentral's name for it is "partial 16S ribosomal RNA". It matches the Rfam family "Bacterial small subunit ribosomal RNA", at positions 28 to 523 of the family's 1533-position model. The record is from RNAcentral.
GACGAACGCUGGCGGCGUGCUUAACACAUGCAAGUCGAGCGAUGAAGCUCCUUCGGGAGUGGAUUAGCGGCGGACGGGUGAGUAACACGUGGGUAACCUGCCUCAUAGAGGGGAAUAGCCUUUCGAAAGGAAGAUUAAUACCGCAUAAGAUUGUAGUACCGCAUGGUACAGCAAUUAAAGGAGUAAUCCGCUAUGAGAUGGACCCGCGUCGCAUUAGCUAGUUGGUGAGGUAACGGCUCACCAAGGCGACGAUGCGUAGCCGACCUGAGAGGGUGAUCGGCCACAUUGGGACUGAGACACGGCCCAGACUCCUACGGGAGGCAGCAGUGGGGAAUAUUGCACAAUGGGGGAAACCCUGAUGCAGCAACGCCGCGUGAGUGAUGACGGUCUUCGGAUUGUAAAGCUCUGUCUUCAGGGACGAUAAUGACGGUACCUGAGGAGGAAGCCACGGCUAACUACGUGCCAGCCGCCGCAGUAA